RNAcentral lists this unclassified non-coding RNA (395 nucleotides) under uncultured Leifsonia sp. Its description in RNAcentral is "partial 16S-23S ribosomal RNA intergenic spacer". The record is from RNAcentral. Lineage: Bacteria; Bacillati; Actinomycetota; Actinomycetes; Micrococcales; Microbacteriaceae.
UCUGAGCGAACGUCUCAGCCGGUUAGCUCAUGGGUGGAACAUUGACAUUGGUGCGGAGCCGAACGGCUCGAACUCAGUACGCCUCCUCGGAGGAAGGAACGGUUCGGAUCACUAGGCGCCGCACAUGCACGCUGUUGGGUCCUGAGGGACCGGGCCUCAUCGAAUGAUGAGAACUGGACCUCUGGACCUUUUCUUGUCGGCAUCACUUGCCGGACGGAGAAGGUACCGCCCGUACUUUGAGAACUACACAGUGGACGCGAGCAUCUUAGAUUCGAACUUUCGGGUUCGGAUCACAAAAGAUGAUCACAGUACUUAUGUACUGAUUAGAUCAUUGGUCAAUCUGCGUCGAACCUGCUCCGGUAGGUACGACGCCGAUCGAUUCAAACUCAUGUGAU